This 253-nucleotide ribosomal RNA is filed under the name uncultured bacterium. RNAcentral's name for it is "partial 16S ribosomal RNA". It matches the Rfam family "Bacterial small subunit ribosomal RNA", at positions 524 to 776 of the family's 1533-position model. The record is from RNAcentral.
GACGAACCGUCCAAACGUUAUUCGGAAUCACUGGGCUUACAGAGUUCGUAGGCGGUCCGGUAAGUUAGGUGUGAAAUCCCUCGGCUCAACCGAGGAACUGCGCUUGAUACUGCCGGACUCGAGGGAGAUAGAGGAAAGCGGAACUGAUGGUGGAGCGGUGAAAUGCGUUGAUAUCAUCAGGAACACCGGUGGCGAAGGCGGCUUUCUGGGUCUCUUCUGACGCUGAGGAACGGAAGCUAGGGUAGCGAACGGG